ACUUAGCUCUAUUUUACGAUUCCUUAACAUAAGCCUGCUACCUUGGCAUGACAUCUUAAAAAGGUACAAAGCAAUACUGACUGGAUCGGACGCAUACAAUUGCC
Non-coding RNA from Drosophila mojavensis, 104 nucleotides. NCBI's taxonomy places the organism in Eukaryota, Metazoa, Arthropoda, Insecta, Diptera, Drosophilidae. The record is from Rfam.